GUGCUCGCCUCGGCAGCACAGAUACUAAAAUUGGAAUGAAACAGAGAAGAUUAGCAUGGCCCCUGUGCAAGGAUGACACGCAAAUUCAUGAAGUGUUAAAAAAAAAG
This 107-nucleotide small nuclear RNA is filed under the name Myotis davidii. The record is from RNAcentral. Lineage: Eukaryota; Metazoa; Chordata; Mammalia; Chiroptera; Vespertilionidae.